This 416-nucleotide unclassified non-coding RNA is filed under the name Hevea brasiliensis (rubber tree). Lineage: Eukaryota; Viridiplantae; Streptophyta; Magnoliopsida; Malpighiales; Euphorbiaceae. The record is from RNAcentral.
UUCUCCAAGUCCGAGUAUGAAGAGCAUGGGGCUUCUUAUGUACAAAGAAAAUGCCCUUGAUACCUUAUUAUGAAGGCACAGAACAUGAGGUUGUACGGUGGAUAAAUUAUGGUCGGGGAAGCUGUCAAAAGAUAUCACCUUUCAUGAACUCCCAUUUUAGCAUCUUAGGUAUGAAAGUAAUAUGUGCCAUGACACCAACCUUUUGGGGCUCAUAUUCACUUUGCUUCUAAUCUGAACUUCUGGCAUGGAACCCAUCAAAAAGCAUCAACUUUACAAUCUGUUAUUGCUUGCUAACUUGAAUUACCUGCUAUCUUGUUCCGUAAUCAAAUGUUUGUCCCUGUAUCUUAGGUUGAUACCCAUUUAAAAUGUAUGAACUGCUGGACAUUUUCAGGAAUAUAUUGUUGGAAUCAUUGACA